UUUGAGAAGACCUGUCCUUAGUACGAGAGGACCGGGAUGGACGUCCCUCUGGUGUACCAGUUGUCCUGCCAAGGGCAUGGCUGGGUAGCUAUGUACGGAAUGGAUAAGCGCUGAAAGCAUCUAAGCGCGAAGUCAACUUCAAGAUAAGAUUUCCCACCGCAAGGGUAAGACCCCAGAAAGACUAUCUGGUUGAUAGGUCGAA
This 202-nucleotide ribosomal RNA is filed under the name Clostridioides difficile. Its description in RNAcentral is "partial 23S ribosomal RNA". It matches the Rfam family "Bacterial large subunit ribosomal RNA", at positions 2661 to 2865 of the family's 2925-position model. The record is from RNAcentral. Lineage: Bacteria; Bacillati; Bacillota; Clostridia; Peptostreptococcales; Peptostreptococcaceae.